CUGCUCUGCUGGAGUUUUGUAGGUGAGCUCAGCAUAAGGGGCUGCAAUGAAAAUCAGAACAUUAGAAUCUGAUGUAAACCCCCAUGCUGUAGGCAUGAACUUGAGAGAACAGUCCCUUAAGAGAUUAUUGAUCCUUGCUUCAGGGAGGCUGCUGAUUGGAGUGCAAAAGACAAGCGAUACUUGGUUUCUGGAUAGUAAGGUUAAAAUGAUGCUGUAUGCGGGCUUAUCAGUGAGACCCAUCCAAUCCAGGCACUAUAUUGUGUGGGAAACCAGCAGGGAAAAGGGGGAACAGGCAAAGCCAUAGCUGAUUGGCAUGAAAAAGAGCACAGCACUUGCUGGGAGGAGAGGAAUCUACUGUGCAUCUCUUGUUAACCUCUCAAGGAUGCCACAGCUCAGCUGAAACUAAGGUUGUCAGCAGAAUAUCCCUGUUAUGGAGUUCAAGAGGAUGGAGGCCAUGGGGUGCAGUCCUGUCCUUAAAACAGGUUUCCUCUCUGGGAAAAUGUUGAAGGGCAGUCUUCACCAGGAGGCUGCCCACCCCAACCAGCUACAAGGCUUGCAGGCUGCAAUAUUUGGAGGACGGAGCAAUUCCAUGUGAAUUGCUGGCCCCAGCUGCAGUUUCUCAUGUUCUGGUGGAGCCAUCAAAGCCCCCAUGAAGGCUCCAGGGACAUCCUCAGAAGGAUUAGGUCAGAGGCAGCAGGACCACUGCUUUCUUUCCAACAGCGCCUUAGUUUCAGCAGGGACCGAAUUGUUUUCUUCAGUGUCUGCAAAGGACUGUGUGGUGCUCAGCCACCUGCUGGGUUAAACCACAACAAGUGGAGAGACUGGAGCAAAGCAAAAAGCCAAGGCAGGCUGAAUUCCUCAGGACCAGAAUGCUCUCAUCAGGCAACACACUGCUCCCCGCUGAUGCCAAGACAUAGGUAGCUCCAGGGCUGGCACAGGGCUGGCUUUGCUCUCUUCUGCUCAGGAUGAACCUCUCCUAGCUCAGUCACUUCUUAGCGCUGAGAUACCUUUUGAGAAUAACAAAUAACCAAAAUGCUUUGUCAGCAUGGAAGCCCAUCAUGUCAGCGGAGUCUGUGUUUGAAUUACAGAAGCAGUGCCGUUUUUGCUGAGGAACUCCCCCAGAGACAAGCAGCUCCUGCAUUAUUAACAACGGUGCUGAUGAAUCCCUGCUAAUGAGACGUGCUCUCUCAGCCAGCCAGCAAAGCGGCCGUGGCCCCACUGCUCACAGCCCACGUUGCAGAGUUUUGUUUGAGAGCAAGAGACGACUGCUCUGGGGAGCAAUUGGCAAUGCUCUGCUGUACGAUUUGGCUGCUUUCCCUAACAUUUGAUAACGUCCUGCCAGGCUUGAGCUAGGUAGGCACGGAAAUCCCGCUUUUGUUCUCUACUGGCUGUGAAAAGGGAAAUAAAGGGCUGCCUUCCCAAUGAUAAAGACUUGUGACUAAAGAAAAGACCUGUUCCUUGGCGCGCACUCUGCUCUGCUCCAGAGAGCAAUAUGGGCUGCGCCCUCUAGUCUGCUUCUUAAUGGCUCGACAGAUUUCACUGUUAGGAAAAUCUUUGUCCAAUUUCUUUAACUCAAUUUCAUCUCGCUCCAUUUAUCAAUUCUGCUUUUGGUUUCUGGAUGCAAUUACUUUCCCACUGUGACCAUUAUACCUCCUGGAAUACUUGUAGAAUAGGAUCUUAUGCACUCUUAGCUGAUAUUUGGCUGGGAGAGACAUCUUAAACUCUUUCAGUUUUUGCUAAGUCAAAUCUCCUUUGAGCUUUCCUAGCAGGAUAAUGCUUUUCUGACAACAUAGUGCAUAGAAUGGGACUUAGCAGCCUCUGUGGAUGCAGAAAGACUGCUCUUCUUCCAGUGCAUCAUAUCAUGUCUCUGUGGUCCAACACAUCAUCACCCAUUGUGCUAAUGCAUUUUCAAGAAGCAUAAUUUUCCCAGUUGUUCUACGAAGCUAAUUUGCUCUGCGUUGCAGACACUGAUGCUUUGCAGAUGUCACAGAUGAUGUCAGCCUUCUGAUGCCAUUGCUGUAUGCAGAAUGAUUCUGUUAACCUCAGAUUUGCUCAUGCUCCAGCUUACUGACUGUCAUGGGGUUUCCCUGAUAUGAACAGCACUGACCUCCAGGGUUCUCCUGUGCAAGUAGAGGACAAAGCAAACCCUAAGGGAGGUGAGAGGGCAGGUUAUCACUAUUUAGGAGUAAUUGGAGUAGCUCCUUUUAAAGCAGGACUUCUUGCAGAUCUUAUGAGUAAUCUGCAUAGUAAGCAUACAGUCAGGACAGUGAAGUGAGAGGGCACAAAAAUUCCUGAUAACUUAUCCCUUGAAAAAAUAACUGACAAAAUGAAAAGGCUGAAGUUACCUCUUCUGUACUUUCCAUUUUUAGCUAUGUGACAAGAGAAAUUUAGGAUGCUAAGACUGCUGACGUAAUCAGAGCCCAAAGGCUGAAUUUUGCAGAUGUCCCUCUCAGCUCACAUAAAAGACCAAGAAGCCCUGACAAGCCAUUGGAGCAGAUCCUGGAGAUGCCUGCAGCACUGGGGAUCAAACUCUGUGGUGCUUAGGACUGAAACAGUGGGAGAUGAGAGGUCUUGCUUUGGCAUCAAGGAAGGCAGAGAUGAAUCUUCAGAAAAGAUUACACAAGAAAAGUAAUAGCUGAGUGGAAUAUCUUCCACCUUAGAGGCAAAAGUCUUAUCUGCAUGUGAAGUGGUGCAGCCUCAGGUAAAAUGUUCUUAGAGUAGGACUCGAAUAGAUCAGAAGGAUAA
Lagopus muta (rock ptarmigan) is the source of this 2745-nucleotide long non-coding RNA. RefSeq lists it as uncharacterized. NCBI's taxonomy places the organism in Eukaryota, Metazoa, Chordata, Aves, Galliformes, Phasianidae. The record is from RefSeq and is a predicted model, not a curated record. The transcript has 7 exons.